GGACAGCCGUGUGCACCGUGCGCUGGGCCGGGCGGGGAGCAGCUGAGGCCACGUUGGGGGACCCCGGGCCCGGGGCAGGGCUCUGGGAGAGUGGCCUAGCCGUGUGUGCGCCCCUAGCCCAGCGGCUUCACUCCCUCCCGAGGGCCCCGUGGCCGCGGCUUUAGGCGUCCAGAGGAUCGAUCGCCGCCAGACAUCCCUGGCCGUGAUUGCCCGAGCACUUGACCGCGAGGGAUGGGGGCGCCGCGGCCUCUGGGCAGGGGACUCCGGGCGCCCCGAGGGAGCAGCCGGGACCAGUGCCUCGCGGACGGAUUGUGCCCCGCUCCCCCAAGGGGGACCCGCGUCGACACGCUCCUCGGUCACCGUCCUCCUCCUGCCCGGGCGCCGCCUGCCUAAGGUGGCCCCAGAAAGCACAAACGGGUCGGGCGGAUCUGCCGCUGGCGCCGGCGCAGCCCUUCCCACGUGCUCCUUCCGGCUGAUUUAUUUCUCCACCACGAUGCCAGGCACGGGCACCCUGUGCCAAGCCUGGUUAAGCGCCAGGAGUCCAAAAUGCCUGCCAUAGUCCCUGCGCAAAGUUCACGGCCUCGUGCCAGGGACAGACAGCGCCCCCUCCCCACCCCAACACAGGGUGGUGAGUGCGAUGGCAGAAGGCGCGUGUCCCGGCGCCCCUCCUGGAGUAGGAGGGCUAAGCCUGCCCUGCGGGGAGACCGAAAGGCUGGGAGGGACCUAGGACUGUGGGGGCCUGGGGGGAGGGCUGCAGAAACCCCAGAGCAUGGUGGCAGAGGCAGGCACAGAAAGCAGGACAAAUCUCACACCUGACCCCAGCAAGCCUUUCCUGGCACACCUCUUGCCAAAUGCUGAGCACUCUGGAAACAGCCAGUGCAGGCGGCCUGUCCCGCCCCUGUAGCUGCUGCUGGGAGCCUCCCUCGCCUGCGUCCUCCCAGAAUCUGGCCUCACUUCUGCAGGCCUGGGGUAACAUCUUGGGGUCAGCGCCCCAGGAGAGGAGGCGCCUGGAGGCAGCAGAGAUGUUUAUGUAACAGCAGCCAGGCAGCCUGGAGGAGCAGAUUUUCCAUAGAAGGAAGCGCGGGGCUGUGCAGCUCCCAGGCUGAGGACUCUGCCCACCACGACGUCCUCUGCUCCUGAGAAGAGAGUGGCCCAUUCGGUGUCCACCCGUCAGGCCACCCAGCAGCCAGGCACGCUCAUAAGCCCGCGUUACGGAUGGUGCGGCCGGGUGCACAGGCCCGAGGGAAGCACAGGCCUCGGCCUCCCAGCUCCCAACCCCUGCACCACCCACAGCCGGGAGUACCCCAUGGACAGCUGUGGCCGAGGAGAAGCCAGGGAUGAGGGGGAUGGGCCUCACCUCCCCACCAGCCUGGGAAGGGGGUAGGCCCCUGGCAAGUAGGCCCCUCCUUUGCGGCUGCUGUGGGGACUUUCGAGAGCAGAGCACACCCCUAAGUGCGUGGAGAGGUAAGCACAGCUGGUGAGCACACGGGGACAGCGACGGAGCUCAUGGAGACCCAGGUGACCUUAAAACACCCCAGGGCCGGCUCCGGCCCCAGAGAGAUGUGGUCCGAGUAGAGGGGGGUCAGCAGUGACCUGGUGGGUGGGUGUAUUUGAGGGGUGCCUGUGUUGAAAGCUCUGCAGUAGAUUCUAAGGAGCAGCCAGGGCUGAGACUCCCGGUGCUGAGCCCAAGGCCCCUUUCCUUCCUGCAGGAGUUCAUCUUGGCUCUUGCAGCCCCCAUGACCCUGUGGCGCUGGGGGGCGGCUAGCAUGAUGCUCCCCAUUUUUCAGGAGGGAAGCUGAGGCUCAGAGACAUCAUGAGGAUGCCAGCUCAAGGCCCAGCCAGGCCUUGGUCCUCAGCUGCUGUCAUCCAGUAGGGUAAGUGGGACCCCCAGGAGGUGUUGGGGGACACUCCUCCCCUCCCCCACACUCACAGUCUGUUCACCGCCCAAGGCAGCAGGCUGGACUCGGUGCAGGGACCAUGGCUUGGCGUGGCCAGGUUGGAGUGGCCCCUGGGACUGAAAGCAGGGGGCGUGGGGGCUCUGAGGCGGGGCCGAGUGCGGGGACGUCCUGUGGCGGGUACCCUGCUGGGUCCUGGGUGGGGGCCACCACCAGGCAGCUGUGGGAACAUUCCAGACCACCUAGGAGUAGGGCCCCUUCACCGUUUGAAGCUGACUGUAAAAAACAUCUGACCUGUGUGCAAAGCUCAAGCCCAGAGGCCUCCAGGGUGUCCAGCCUCCAGGGUGCCUCCUACGCAGCCUCCACGUCCCCAUCCACUGCAGCCCCUGACCAUCGGGCACACCGUGGGGCCUUCGCUGGCCGCCGGGCCUCAGGUUCUGCUGCACCAAGUGAUUUUUAAAGCCCCAUCUGCCUUUCUCCACUUAUAAAGAACUUGGGACAUUUCCUCGAGGUUGGGCAUUUUUCCAGAUGUGGUUUCAGUGUCUCGCUUGCUACCUGGUCCCCUGUGCUGGGCGGUCCGCUGUGACGCACCUGGCAGUCCUUGCUCUAGGAUGGAUUCGGGCCGGCCCUUGUUCUGAGAACAGAGAACGGCCCUUGUUCUGAGGAGGCUGGGGUCUGGAAUCUGCUUCCUGGUCCCCUGCUGUGUGCAGACAGCCACCGUCACCCAGGCCCAGGGGUGCCUGCAGGUGCUGGGCAUCUCACCCUGGCCCCCACAGGGGCUCCCCAUGCCCUGCACCCCUCGGUCUGUGCCGGGGACUUCCCUGCUCUGCUGUUGCAGGCCUCGUCCUUUGCCGAGGGGGUCUCUUUCCCACGUGUCCCUGAGACUCCUCAGCCAUCCCAGAGGCUCUCGGCCGUCUGAGCACCCCUGACCAUGAAGCCUUCCUGGCCCACUCUCUGUGUGUGAGGCAGAGCCCAUCCCUACCAUUCCGACCCACACCAGAGGCUCCGGAAGGUUUGCUGACUGACCUGUGACUGCAAGAAGCUGAAGGAAUGUGGGCGCAGACCCGGCAGGGGCUUUUCUUGGUGCAAAGUCAACUGGCUGUCCAUGCAAGCCUGCUGCUGUGGCCAGCCCUCCCGCCAGGCGCCUGGUACCCUCCCUGGACCCAGUUGCCAGGACAGUGAUCCCCAGCUGUGGCCAGGACUCUGCCCGGGGCCCUGUCUACUCAGUGUCUCCAGUGGUCCCCAUGCAGAAACUGCCCCCCUUGCUGCCCAUGAGGCAUGGGAUAGGGUCAGCAUCCGAGAGGCAGGCCCUGCUGUUCCCCUCUGCACAGAGGCUGGGGGAGUGAGUUGCCCGGGCAAGUCCCCGGGCAGGCACUGGGCCUCCUGAGCAGGUGAGCUGAGAAGGCCCCAGCUGGUGUAGGCCUCGAGAGCUGCAGGACUGGCCAUGGGGCAGACCUGGCAUUGUCAUUCUAGAGCUGGGCCUGGGGGGUGGCUGGUGCAGUGCAGAUCUCAGGUGGAGGCCACCUGCCCGUCCUUUCCACGUGGCUCAGGGCUCAGACCCACCUGCCUGUCCCUGGAAGCCCCUAGACUGCUCAGAGCACAGACCUCAGUGGGAAAGACAGUAGAUAGGCCUGGGUAUGGUCUCCCAGCCCUGAGAAGUGGGGAGCCCACUCAGACCUUUCCAGGACCCCAGGUCCCCUCAGCAGCCCACAGAGCGUGGGUGGAGCCUGGGCUGGGGUUGGGUCACUUGGGAGCCAAAGGCCCAUUUCUGCUGCUUCCAGGGAGUCCCAGGGAGACGGCAGAGGCAGUGCCUGGCUGGGGCCCUGGUUGGCGUGCCGUUUGAGGGGUGCAUGCACUGGGAAGUUGGCCAGGCCUGCCCAAAUCAGGGGGCUUCCAGGAGGAGAGACAUCAGGAGGAUGGGCACAGAGGCGGCUUAGCACCAGGGCUGGCACCUCCAGGUAGGGGCUGUGGGGGGCUGGACCAGACAGGGAGGCUGUCACGAUGCCUGGCUGUUGGAUGGGGGCACAGAGGCUCUGAGUGGGGUGGCAGAGCUUGGCCACCAGGUCCAUCUGCACCCCCCAUGCCCCCUCACUACCCCCAGACCCCCAUGAUCCCAAACUACUCAGUCCCAGGGACCCCUGCAGAGCCUGUGGUGGGGGUGAUCUUCCACCCUGCCUGGCCCCUGCCCACCUCACCUCAGAACUUUCUCCAAAAAGUAAGAGCCCCGGGGGACGAAACUUCGAGGCUCCACCCCUUGGGCUCUGGUACAAACCCCGAGCCUCCUCCGAGGGCUGAGUCACUGGGAAAGCCGGGAUGGGCUGGCCCCUCCCCCUCCCUCUCCUUCCUUCCUCCUUCCCCCUUUCUCGGUCUCCCUCUUUUUCUCUUUGCUUUACUUCUCUUUCUUGCCUCCCUCUCUCCCUCUCUUCUUUCGUUCCUUUCAUCUUCUUCCCUUCCUCCGUCUUUGCCUUUCUUCUUUUCUGAGGGUAAAAAUAGCUGGAAAAC
This 4397-nucleotide long non-coding RNA is filed under the name Homo sapiens (human). RNAcentral's name for it is "non-protein coding NALT1:22". The record is from RNAcentral. Lineage: Eukaryota; Metazoa; Chordata; Mammalia; Primates; Hominidae.